GGGCACUCUAGCGAGACUGCCGGUAAUAAACCGGAGGAAGGUGGGGAUGACGUCAAAUCAUCAUGCCCCUUAUGACCUGGGCUACACACGUGCUACAAUGGUUGGUACAACGAGUUGCGAGUCGGUGACGGCGAGCUAAUCUCUUAAAGCCAAUCUCAGUUCGGAUUGUAGGCUGCAACUCGCCUACAUGAAGUCGGAAUCGCUAGUAAUCGCGGAUCAGCACGCCGCGGUGAAUACGUUCCCGGGCCUU
RNAcentral lists this ribosomal RNA (250 nucleotides) under uncultured Streptococcus sp. RNAcentral describes it as "partial 16S ribosomal RNA". It matches the Rfam family "Bacterial small subunit ribosomal RNA", at positions 1133 to 1382 of the family's 1533-position model. Lineage: Bacteria; Bacillati; Bacillota; Bacilli; Lactobacillales; Streptococcaceae. The record is from RNAcentral.